Molecule: ribosomal RNA, 497 nt
Filed under: uncultured bacterium
Lineage: Bacteria
Description: partial 16S ribosomal RNA
Rfam family: Bacterial small subunit ribosomal RNA
Source: RNAcentral
GACGAACGCUGGCGGCGUGCCUAAUACAUGCAAGUUGAGCGCUGAAGGUUGGUACUUGUGCCGACUGGAUGAGCAGCGAACGGGUGAGUAACGCGUGGGGAAUCUGCCUUUGAGCGGGGGACAACAUUUGGAAACGAAUGCUAAUACCGCAUAAAAACUUUAAACACAAGUUUUAAGUUUGAAAGAUGCAAUUGCAUCACUCAAAGAUGAUCCCGCGUUGUAUUAGCUAGUUGGUGAGGUAAAGGCUCACCAAGGCGAUGAUACAUAGCCGACCUGAGAGGGGGAUCGGCCACAUUGGGACUGAGACACGGCCCAAACUCCUACGGGAGGCAGCAGUAGGGAAUCUUCGGCAAUGGACGAAAGUCUGACCGAGCAACGCCGCGUGAGGGAAGAAGGUUUUCGGAUCGUAAAACUCUGUUGGUAGAGAAGAACGUUGGUGAGAGUGGAAAGCUCAUCAAGUGACGGUAACUACCCAGAAAGGGACGGCUAACUACGUG